This 31583-nucleotide long non-coding RNA is filed under the name Phaseolus vulgaris (common bean). Its description in RNAcentral is "long non-coding RNA (PVUL_LNC003729)". Lineage: Eukaryota; Viridiplantae; Streptophyta; Magnoliopsida; Fabales; Fabaceae. The record is from RNAcentral.
UAGUUCAGAGGCUCCAUUUAUGAUCAAAAGAUGAAGAUUGGGAAGGUCAUUAGAUGUAGAUUCAGAGAUAAAUCUUUUCAGCUUGUGGCAAUGUCCCACAUACAGUGCUUCUAGUUUUGGGAAGAAUGGCUGAGGAGAAAGAAGACUAGACAAUGUUUUAUCCUCCACAUCCUUUUCAAUGAUUUGUCUUAAUUCUUUGCAUUUUCUUAUCUUCACAAAAUUCAACUCUGGUAAGCAUCUUAAAACAGAUUUUGGAAAGACUACUUCCAAUUUUGCACAUCCAACUAUUUCUAAUCUUUCAAGAUUUGAGAAGGUAAAAGAGUUUUUUGGAACUCCUUCUUCACAUCCAACAAUCUGCCUCAAUUCCAUGCAUUCUUCUAUGAUUAGGCGUUUCAACUCUGAUAAGCUUCUGCUUAAGACAGAAGGAGGAAAGAUUACUUUCAAUUUUGCACAUCCCAUUAUUUUUAAAGUGGUAAGAUGUUGGAGAUUAACUGAAUUCUUGGAAGCCACCCAAAUAUAAGUCAUUUGAGGUAGAUUUUCCAACACCAAAUCCUCUAACCUUAAACUCACUUGAUGCCCAAUCAUUUCAUGUCCAUUAAGACAAAAAAUACCUUCUACUUCACAAUUUCUUAUGGAUACAUUUUUCAAAGUGAGGAAAUGAUUAUGAAUCCCUUUUGGAUCCUGCAGGACAUCAAUAGAAAUGUAAAAAAUUCCAAACAAAAAAACAAAAAGGACCAAAUAACUAAUAAUUAUAAAAAUAAACACAAGACUACCUUCCUGCUUACGCUAAUAGGCUCUCUUGAAUCCGUAAGAACCGUCAAAGAACUCAUAGAAUCAUUAAAAGGAUAGGAACAUUUAUCACACUCAAACUCCUUCAAAGAUGGCCAAGUCACAGUGAGAGUGUUGGUAGCACAAAUGCUAACAAAAUUUGGUAAAUUAUAAAGAGAGAGUAUUUCCAAUGCUGACAAAUGAAUAUGAAUCUCCUCACAAUCCUGAUUAGCUAUGGGAUAUUGCCCAAACAUAUAGUUCAAUUGGCCACAAUCACGCACAGAGAGAAUUCUUAGGUGUGGAAAGAUAGCAUUCAAAUUCUCUUUGCCAUAUUCAUCCUCAAUGUCUAUAAUGUGCUCAAGUCCAUGACAUUGCUUAAUUCUCAAGAUUUCCAACAUCAAUGAUGAAGCAAUGGACGGUUUAAAAAGGUACUUUACCUUAUCAAAGCCUUUCAGUUCAAUCUCUAUUAUAUUUUGCAUAAUAAGAAAGGUCAAACCUUGUGGUUGUUUUGAAAGAUAUUCAACACUUUCAACUGGGGGAACAAAAUCUGAGUUCGAUAUCUGCAAUAUAUACACUAAAUUACUUUUUAAACCAAACUAAAUAAUUAUUGUUGCAAUUCAUUUCUAACAUAUUACUCGUAUAAAUUAAAAUUUUAAGAAAUACCACUAAUUGUUUAUUAAAUUAAUUGCAUUUUGUUUAGCCCAACGAGAAAAAAGAAUAAUUUCACAAAAGUAAUCUACUCCAACUAAUCUAUCCCAAUACUUUAAUAUUAAAACUUAUAGGUUGAAUUCAGGUCACCAAUAAGUUGUAGUUCUUAUAAGACAAUUAUUAAUUUUAGCUCAAACAUGAUCUUGCAAAAUUUUUGCUAAAUACAAAGCAAGUGAUGAAUAAUCAUACCUUGAUUGAAAUAUAAUCUUCGUGUCUAGCUUCCGAAGCAUUUGUUGAAGAAUUUAUCGUGAAAAACCCAACAUAUGUCCCAAUACCCAAUAAUAGUGUUCUCAAAGACGGACAUCUUACAGUAUAACUGUCUAGAAUGAUGCUACCCAGGUUACGAUCAAGUUGGAGUACUUCUAAAGCAGGAAGCUCAAUCUGAGUAUUAUUUUGUUGUUGCUGACAAAAAUUCUCUUUGAAAUUAUUUGGACUUGAAAAAUCUUUCAAAUCAGUUGUCUCUUUAUUUCUUAUAUCAUUCAAUUUCAUCGUGCCUCCAACAAAAGGGACAGGGAAUAUACGUUGCAAUAAGUCACAUUCACUGAUAUAUAAAUUUUUCAAACUCUGGAAGAUUGAAAUAUCACUCUGAAAGUCAUGGUCAUCCUCAACAACAUUUUCCUUCUGAUUUUGAUUGAUCCUUUCAUGAGUUAUUAUAUGCCUCAAACUAUUGCACUUUAUUAUGACCAAUUUUUCUAAAGAAGUCAAGGUCUUAGCUGUAGAUGCUGUAAAAAUUGAGCCUAACUUCGGACAAUCAUAUAUUCUAAGGCUUGUAAGGCUUGAUAGAGUUCCUAAAAAGCAAUUAUAUAUAAGAAAAAUAUCACUCAAGAUUUCAUAUAUACUUUGUGUGCAAGUUACAUUCUGAAUUUAAAAACAUUGGUUUCUUGAGACUAAAACCACAAUCCUAAACAUUAAAUGAUCGGUUAAUAAUGAUGAAAAGAAUCAUACAAAACAAUUUUCUUUAAAAUAUUCUAAAUUAUAAAAAAAAAAUUAAAAUGCAAAUAGAAAUGUCUUUAAUUUUGUCUGAGACAAAUUUCCCUGGCAGUGCAUUAACAAGUAAUUGGUUCAAAUAAAAGUAGAUUAUUAAUGUCGAGUUUGAACCUUACAAAUAGAAAAUAAUGAUCGUGAUGACACAAUGUACAACUAAUAUGCUUAAAUUUUUCAUAUACAAUAACAUAUUCACAAUUUUCACGUAACUUGUAAAUAACUUAACUUCAACUAAGCAACAACAGGUAGACUUACUAAUACACACUUAAACAUAUUUAGAAAUGCAAAAAGAAAAAUUUACCAGGGCUAUAGUUCACAACUGUUGUUGGUGGAGUUGAAGUUGAAGUGCUAUACAAAUGUGGAUGCUUACCUUCCUCAAUGAUUUCAUCAAGUUCUUCUUUUUUACCAUGGUCUGCUGAUGGAACAAUAUCUCCAAUUAUUUGAUCUAGCAUGUGGCAUUUAUUUAUCUCGAGCAGUUUCAAUUGAACUAAGCCUCUUACAAUGCUGGCAGAGAAUAUAAGUUUUAAUUCUCCACAACUAUUUACCUCUAGUUUCUGAAGAUUCUGGAAUAUUUGUAUAGGAUGCCCAGUGGUGAAUUCACCUUGACUUUUCUCUGUUUUGUCAUCUUCUGCUAAUAUAUGCUUCAAUCCAUCACAUCUUGAUAUUUUUAAUGUUUUCAAUUGUACCAAACGUUGAGCAACGACAUACGUGAAGAGAGAUGUCAAUCGUGGACAAUCAAUUAAAUAUAACUUCUCUAAGUUCUCAAAAGGCCCAUUGGCAGGUUGCAAACAAUGCCAUAAAGCUCUUAGAUUUUCCAUGUUAUGGAUUUUCAGCUUAUGCAACUUGGAGAAGAGAGUUAUCACCUCACUAUAAUGAUUACUAGUGUCAAUCAAACACUCUAUCUCUUUAGAAUUACGUAUCUCAAACAUAUUCAACUCAUCCAAACCUCCCCCUUCAAUUUGAAAUAUAUCAGGUAUGAUAUUUUUUGCCCCUCCCUGAAUAUUGGCUACAAAUAGAUCCUUUGCUUUUUUUGCUAAACUCUUAAUUACCUCAUUUGAAAUGUGAAAAUAGUUAAGUAAUAAUGAGUGGAAAGAAAUAAGUGAAAUAUAUUUCUGAGAUAUUUUACAAAUGUGAUUACAGUCUCUAUUUAUAGACUGUUUUACAACCUAAUUAAAGAAAGAAAUAAUAGGCAAUGAAAGCCAGAAAUAAUGAGUGUUUAAAGCUGUACAAAUCAAAUCAAAUCACUAACAAAUCUGUCCUAAUAAAUAUAAAAUAGAAUCUGCACUUAAUUAUAACAUAAUUCUCCUGAUUAUGCAACACUCCCCCUCAAGUUGGUGAAUGUAUAUCUAUCAUUCCCAACUUGCAAGUAAGAUCUUCGAAUUGUUUUGCGGGAAGUCCCUUAGUAAACAUAUCUGCCAAUUGGAGUCUUGAAGGGAUGUACUCAGUGGCUAUAAGACCAUCAUCCAACUUUUCUUUAAUAAAGUGUCGGUCUAUCUCUACGUGCUUUGUUCGAUCAUGUUGAACCGGAUUGUGUGCAAUACUGAUAGCGGACUUAUUAUCACAUGCCAAACUCAUAGGAGCUUCAUAUUUUAUUUUUAGGUCAUCAAGUAUGAUCUUCAUCCAUAAGAGUUCACACACCCCUUGAGCCAUGGCUCUAAAUUCUGCCUCUGCACUUGAUCUUGCAACUACAUUUUGCUUCUUGCUCCUCCAUGUCACCAGAUUUCCACCCAAGAACAUGCAGUAGCCUGUGGUGGAUCUCCUAUCAACAAUCGAUCCUGCAUAGUCAGCAUCAGUAUAUACUUUCAUGGAUAAGUUUUCCCCCUUUUUGAAUAGCAAUCCUUUUCCUGGAGAGGCUUUUAAGUACUGAAUAAUUUUAUCUACUGCUUGCAAGUGUCUUUCUCUUGGAUCAUGCAUAAAUUGACUAACCACACUAACUGCAUAGGCUAUAUCUGGCCUAGUGUGUGAAAGAUAAAUGAGUUUUCCCAGUGAAGGUUACUCGUGGACGGGGCGGUUAGUCUGCAUCCNNNNNNNNNNNNNNNNNNNNNNNNNNNNNNNNNNNNNNNNNNNNNNNNNNNNNNNNNNNNNNNNNNNNNNNNNNNNNNNNNNNNNNNNNNNNNNNNNNNNAAUGGGAAGGGAAAAAUACCACUGUACAAUUUAAAUCUUGGGUAAUCUUUUGAAUAGACAAGAGGUUAUUGGAUAGUUUGGGAACAUGAAGCACAUUUUUUAAAGGAAAUGAAGGUUGAAGGUGAAUGUUACCACGACCAUUAAUGGGGGUAGUGGAACCAUUAGCAAUAGUAAUAUAUGGCUUACCGGAUAAAGUAGUGUAGGAUGAAAAAGAAGAGGAAUGAGGUGUCAUAUGAUCAGUAGCACCAGAGUCUAUAAUCCAGAUAUUUUCAGUACUAGAAGCAUUAAAGGAUAAAAAACUAGAACUCUUACCACUCAUAGUAAAGGAACAAUAGCUAGAUGGCUUACUAAGGGAGUCCAUGAGAGUUCAAAACCAACUGAGUUUUUCAGAUUGGCAAAAUUUGAUCCUGUUCACACACACAGGAAAAAAAAAUCUGCCGGAAAAAUUUUCCGGUGGCGGUUUCAGGCGGCCAGCGGCGGUUUCCGGCGAGCAGUGGCAGUUCCGGCGAGCGGUGCAGUUUCCGGCGAGCGACGGCAGUGGUGGUCGUCAAUGGUGCAAGGUGGUGGUGGUGGUCAAUGGAGAAAGGAUAAGGAAAAUAGAAAGUUGCAGCAAUGAAGGCUGUCCAACAAAUAAUUGCAGCAAUGAAGGCUGUCAAGGAAAAUGAUUACAGCAAUGAAGGCUAAAAAAAAAUUUGCGGAAGCAGAGUCUCCUAGAUCAGGAGCUCUGAUACCAAGUGGAAAGAAAUAAGUGAAAUAUAUUUCUGAGAUAUUUUACAAAUGUGAUUACAGUCUCUAUUUAUAGACUGUUUUACAACCUAAUUAAAGAAAGAAAUAAUAGGCAAUGAAAGCCAGAAAUAAUGAGUGUUUAAAGCUGUACAAAUCAAAUCAAAUCACUAACAAAUCUGUCCUAAUAAAUAUAAAAUAGAAUCUGCACUUAAUUAUAACAUAAUUCUCCUGAUUAUGCAACAUAAUGUUUUGUGAUUAGAGCAAAAUUCUUCAUCAUUAUACUCAUCAAAAUAACGGGAUCCUAAUAUAAUUCCGUACCUUUGCAAUGUUUGGGGGACACUGAAGGUGUUAAAGAAUUCAAUAUUGUCUUCACUGUUAGCAUCCCAUUCUCCUUCAAUAUUAACAAUGUACAACUCUUCCAGUAGUGGAGUUCUUUUGAUCACUUCAAACUUCUUCCCUUUAAUGUCACAUUUGUUCAACUCUAACAAUUUUAAGGAUGUUACUUGUGAAAUUACAACAUCAGUUUGUAAUUCAGGAAAUGAAGGCAAUAAACAGCCAUGCAGCGAAAGACUUUGGAGUUUCUUCAUAUCGCCUACAAAAGUGAAGUUGCUCAACUCAUAACCGUAAAUGAGUAAAUAACGGAGAUUUUGUAAUGCUUGGAAAGACACUUUUGACAAUGGUGUUUUUCCAUCCUCAUCAUUCACAAGAAUCAAAACUUUGAGCAUUCCCAUUCUUUUGAAAAUUCCAUCAAAUUCUAACAAUUUUGUCUUUAAGAAUAAAAACUCAAGAUUGGAACAAUCCAAAUCAUUUGGAAAUUUCACACACCAUAGAUAUUUUACGAAAUUUUGUUCAAUAGUCACAUCUUUUUCCUCUUCGCACUUGAUGAUCUUAUUCUCAUUCUUUGCUAUCAAGUGGGCCACAUCGCGAACUAUGUCAUGCAUUUUGACACAUUCAUCCUCUUCAUCCAACAAUAAACAAGAACUAACGAGCUUAAUUUUGGCUGCAAUCACUUCACUCCUAGCCACCUCAUAUGAGUGUGCUUCUCCAACUACACCUAACCCUAUUGCGCAUCUUAUUAAAAGUUCAAUUGGAAUUUCAAAAUCUUCAGGGAACACAGAACACAACAGGAAAAGUGAUUUAGCUUCUUUAGUAUCCAAAUUAUCAUAGCUCAACUGCAAGCACUUGUAGGGAUCAGUCAAACCUCUUUCAAUAUUUAUUGGCUUAGAACUUCUCAACUUAUUCAAUGCAACACUCCAUAUCGUCUCGACUUUUCCCUUCAAACUACUAGCUACAGCUGCAAUUGCAACAGGCAAUCCUUUACAUUCAUUAGAAAUUAAUCUUGCCAGAUUCUUUAAGGUAUCAGGGGUGUCUUCAAAUAUAAGUGCUUUAUUUUGGAAAAGAGUCCACGCUUCUUCAUCCGUUAAAAUUGGCAGGUAAAUCUUCCUUUGACAAUCCAUCGAAGUACAAACUUCUUCUGAUCUAGUGGUAAUGAGAAUCUUACAGCCUUUAUGGUGUUCAGAGGAUGGAAUCCCAAUGCCCCCAAAGUCAAGCUUCUCCCACACAUCAUCUAGAAUCAUAAGAAUAUUUUUUUCUUGGGUUAAUCUCAAGCACAAUCGUUGGGCUCUCUCCAUUUCUUCGGUUUCUGGAAAUAUAUAUUGCAGUGAACUUGCAAUUUUUUCUUGGAUCCUUCGAACUUCCACUGUACUAGAAAUAGGCACAAAAAGAACUUUGUCAAAAAGAUGCUCUGCUUCUACUAACUUCCUAACCUCCAUUGCUAAGGUGGUUUUACCACAACCCCCCAUCCCAUACAGUCCAAUCAUGGCAACAUCAUUAUUUUUCACUGCUUCCAGUAGUUUCUCAUAUGCAAAUUGUCUACUCUCAAAAUUCAUGCAUUUUUCUGAAAGAAUAUUCAAGGUGCCUGAAGGAAGUGUAGCAAUGCGGUCAAAUGGCACAUAUUUUCUACCCUCUACAAUGAACUUUUCAAGGUCCACAGUUUUAUUUGCUAACUUUUUUCCUACACGGUGUCGCCAAAUCCAAUUUGGACAGUGCCCAAAGCAACAUAUUUUUUUUGUUUUUGCCUCUUUCAACAACUGACUCACAUUGUCUACGUUAAUGAUAGCAUCUUGCAGCCACUUGUCGACAACUUCACUAGUCUUUCUGGUUUGUCUCUCGGCAUGUGCAACAAAUGUUUGCACACUAUCUCUCGUUACAAUCAAAUCACCCUCUUCUUGCUCAAGCUUUUUGAUGAAAUUGUUAAAACAACAAGGAUAACGUAAUUGAUUUAAUGCUCCACACACUAAAUCUCUUGAAACAGAAGAUGCAAAACCCAAGAGACACUCCAUCAAUUUGUUCCACCAAAUUCAACUUUCUUUAACCUGAACAAGAGAAAAUGAACACACUCUAUAAGUUUUAUAAUUAUAUUUAGAUACAUUAGACAAAAACAUAUUUUAAGAUCAUUUAUUACAUAUUCUAGUAAGUCACUUUUAUAGUAAAAUUACAAAAAAAAAGGUUUAUAAGUCAUGUGUAGUAAGCAAAUUUAAUGUUUUAUAUCCUAAAUAAUUAAUUAUUGGAUACACAUUAAAAUAAACUCCAAUAACUUUAAUCAAUAGUUUUAAAAUAUUAAUUGUGAUAGAGUUUUUAAAUGUUUUUUUAUCACUUUGGUUAUUUUUCAAACAUAUUUUUUUGAAUAGCUUUAUUUAAAUUUUUUUUUACCCUUCCUCAAAAAGAAAAAUUAUCAUAUUCAAUGUACUUAAAUGACACAUAAAUAUGUAGAUCAAAAUAUUUGUUAAGUAGGAAAAGCAACCGAUGAGUACAAUAUGUAUUUAUCCAAAGGUUGAAUCAACUAGGGCUUAGGUCGUGAGCCUAUAUCAAGCUGAGUCGAUCCAAGUCCGUGUCGAGUCGAGUUGACUCAGGUCCAAGUCGAGCCUAGUUAGUUUGGGUCCAUGUUGAGGCUAGUUAGUCCAGACCCAUGUCGAGCCGAGUCAGUCUGAACCCAUGUCGAGCCGAGUCAGUCUGAACCCAUGUCGAGUCAAGUGGGCACGGGCUAGUGUCGAGUCGAAAUGACCCAUGUCCAUGUCGUUCCAAGUCGACCUGGGCCCAUGUUGAGCCUAGUCAUCCCGAGCCCAAAUCGACCCGAGUCGACUUGGGCCUAGGACGACCCUAGUUAGCACAUGCCCAGGUCGAGUCGACCUGAGCCCAUCUCGAGUCGAGCCCAGCUGGUCUAGGCCCAUGUCGAGCCGAGUGGAACAUGUUUAGAGGAGUGGGCUUGGGCCAAUGUCGAGUUGAGUGGGUACAGGUCCAUGUUGAGCUAAGUCAGUUUGGUAAUAGGUCGAGUCGGCUCGGGUCUAGGUUGAGUUGAGUUUGCCUAGACCCAAGUAGAGCCAAGUUUGCUUGGGCGUGGCCCGGACCUAUAUCGAGUCGAGUCAACUCGGGCUCAGGUCGAGUGUAGUUGGCCCGGGUCCAUGUUGAGCCAAGUUGACCAAGGCCAGGGAGUCGAGUUGACUCGGACCCAGAUCGAGCCAAGUCAGUUCGGGCACAGGUCGAGUCAGCCUGAGCCCAUAUCGAGCCGAGUCAAUCCAGGACCAUGUUUAGCCGAGUGGGCGUGGGUCCAUGUCGAGCCGCGUUGACCCUGGCCCAUGUUAAGCUAAGCGGGUUCAGGCCCAUGUCGAGCUAAGUCGACCUGGUACUAGGUCGAGUCAAUUCGGGUCCAGGUCGAGCUGAGCUGUUUUGAUACCAGAUCGAGCAUAGUUGGCCUGGAUCUAGGUCUAGCCGAGUCGGUCCAGGUUCAGAUCAAGUCGACCUUAACACAAGUCAAGCCAAGUCAGCUCGUGUCCAGAUCUAGAUGGAUUUAAUCUAAUUUACAAAGUGAAUUUAAUUAUUUUAAAUGAAUUUAGAAAAAUCCAAAUAAAUUUGAUCUAAUUAAAAUUGAUGUAAAAUCCAAUCUAUUUUGUUAGAAUUGAAUCUGGAUAAAAUUCAAUCCAUAACUACUCUACCCAAAAAUCACUUUAUAACCGUUCGUUAUACAACACUUGUUACUUAUAUUCAUUUAUUAUGAUGAAAUAUAUUAAUUCAUCAUCAGCAUUUCCCCCCAUUUGAUUAGUUAAGAUAGUUUAUCAUAUACCCUCUCUUAAUAUUUUUAUGAGACUAAAUUAAUUUUUUUAUAAGUUUUUGGUAUCUCUAUUGGAAACUUUGACUGAAGUGACAUUUUCAACAAUUAAACAUAUAUCAUCAAAUUGGCUAAAUUAGUAUGUUAAACUAACAAAAAGUAUAAAUUUGGUUUGACAGAAAAGCUUUAAAAAAUCGAAGUGAAACUUUUAAACUUUAGAACUAAACUAAAAUCUCGCUAAUGGAUCAAAACUUUAUUUUAGAAAAAAAAAUGAAUCAUGUUUAAUUAGAAGAGGCAUGUUACAUUUUAAUUAAAUAAAUUGUCAUAAAUAAUGAUGGUUAAAAGAGAAGUGAUAUGGGAACUUAGUUCUUCAUUAAAUUAUAUUAAUAUAUUACAUUUAUAUUAUAAAUAGUUUCAUAUAUUUUCUUUACUAAUAUGCCAAAUUAUGAGAAAAAAUUUAAAAUAUUCAUGUUCAUAUUUGAGAGAGAUGGACCAUGUCAUAAUUAUGUUGAAUUCCGAGCUAUUAUAUAAUAGGACGUUAAUUUGGUAGACGUUUGAAAAUCUCUCGACUUGAAUAGCCUUAGCUACUCAAUCAAGACAAAAUCAAGAAAAAUAAGGGAUUUUAUCAAUAUAUAUCGUAAGAGGCAUUAACAAGAAGGAUCAUCUUUUAAACACAUUAAUUAAAGGUGCACUCACUCUUAACUAUCAUUGAAUAUCCUGGGCUUAACGUGACCUAACCCUUUUGUCUAGAACAAUAUUUAAUUUCAAAUAAUUCAUCCUUAAAAAAUUGAUUAGAUCUAAAUAAACUUUUACAUUUUCACUCCUCUUACAAAGGACGUUAGCUCUCUUUAAAGUAAACUAUAAUGGUGCUCUUAGGUUUCUUCAAAUUAAACUAACAUAUGUGAUAAUUGAAUGUCAAAUAAAGAUCAUGUUUAUAGAAUUUUGUCAUAGACUAUAUAUGUGCUAUGAUUUUAUGUUUUUGGGAUGACCUUUAUAUUGCUAAAUUAAAAUGAUUCUCUCAAUUCGACUUGUGCUUGAAAUGGUAUUUAAUAGUUUUUCAGAAAAUAUAAUUGUUCAAUUUGAUCUCUCUGAUUGAAGAUAAAUAAUGUGAUUAGUAUGUUAAUCCUAAUUGAACAUUAUUACCAUAAAACUUGUAAGAGCCAAUAAAGAUCCAGUCAAAUCGAUUCAAAAUUAGUAAAAAAUUAUAAAAUAUCGUAGUUAAAUAUCGAUUCAAUUUUUUUACAUUUAGCUGAAACAUUUUUAAGAUAAAUGAUAUAUGUAAUAUUCUGCAGGGUAUAAUAAUGAUUACACUAGAUAAAUAAGCUAUUCUUCCUAUUUUGAUCUCACAGUUUUACAGAUCUCAGAGUAUUUUUAAUAGAAAUUUUCUUAAGAUCUCACCUAUACAAAUUAUUUCAUAAUAAUAAUUAUUUAUAAAUAAAAUAUUAUUUUAAUGGAGAUCUCACAGAUAUAAAUUAUGUAAAUGUAAAGAAAAUUAUUUAUAUUAAAAAGAGUUAGUUAAGAACAGUAGUUUCCAUAAUAAUAUUAUAAAUCAUAAACAUCACUACUUUAGUAUAGAAAACAGAAAACAGAUUAUAUUGUGUUUUCAUCCAUAAGAAGAAGCAGAUCUAGUAGUCUGAACCUGUUCAUCGUUCAUAUCUAACUAAUUUGAAAGAGGAAAAAUAUGAAAUAUUACCUUCUUUAACUAAUAUGUAGAGAGAGAUGAGAGAAAGAAGUGGUGAUCCAUGACUUCAACACAGGAGAAGCUGAAACGUUAAGUUACUGCAGAAACAUAAACACAAACACAUGAUCUACAACUUCAAUUGAAAAGGAAUCGAUUAGAAAUUGAAAACAAAGCAGAAGUUAACUUCACACUGAUUCAUACCUCCACAGAGAUGAAAGUACUCCAUUGCUUGAAUCGAUGAGAGAGUAAAAGAGACGCUGAAAGAUUACGUUACUGCACAAACACAAACACGUGAUCCACAACUUCAAUUGAAAAGGAAUCGAUUAGAAAUUGAAAACAAAACAGAAGUUAACUUCACACUGAUUCAUACCUCCACAGAGACGAAUGCACUCCAUUGCAAAAGAGUUAAGAAUGAACGCGCAGUUAUUCCAGCACAAGAGACGGUGAAACGUUAAGUUACUGCAUAAACACAAACACAAACACAUGAUCUACAGCUUCAAUCGAAAAGGAAUCGAUUAGAAAUUGAAAUCACAGUGAUUCGUACCUUCACAGAGAUGAAAGGAAUCCAUGGCUUGAACGAAGGACAGAGUAUAACAGAGAACCCUCACACUGAGUGCAAUACCGCAAGAGAUAAGAGUGAAAGCAGAGAUGCGAAGAGUGGGGACAGUGACUAUUGGUCUUCUUCCCAGUGAUAUUAUUGCUCUUCCUCUUUUCUAUCAAUUAUUAUUAUAAUAAUAAUAAUUGAGGAUGCAUUGACUUGCACUUUUAUAUCUUUUAAAAGUCUUUGUCUUCUUUUAUAUAAUAAUAAUAAUAAUUCUUAUUUUUUAUUAUUGCUGUGUGCAGUUUUUUUUUUAAUCUGCCGUACAUAUUUUGACAUAACAAUAAUUUAUUUAAUUUAUUAAACAAUACACAACGAACAGAAAAAAAGAAAACUUAUUUGACCUCCGAGUUGUACCAGCCUAAUUAAAGUUAAAAUGAUUAUUGUAAUUUUUUAAAUAAAUUUUACUUUUAUUUAGUAUGAAUGUUUCAACCCGAUUUAAGUUCAUCCUAAAAUUUAAUGCAAAAGCGAAAAGUGGAAAAUGUCCUUUUAAAUUUUUUAUAUUUUCUUAAAACAUAUUAUUUAAAACGUAUUUUAAAAAAGUAAACUAUUGCUUUCGAAGAAAAUUGAAUUUUUAUUCAAUUUCAUAAAAGAAUAAAUAAAAAUAGAAAUGGAUGGUUCCUUUUAGAUUGACAGAGAGGAGUAAACUGACUGGGAAAUUAGAACCAAAUGAAAUAUAUAGUAAAACACGCAUAAAAAUAAAAAUAAGGUAUUACAAAAUGAUGUAGCAAAUUUUGUUGGGUUUAUUAUUGUAGAGCAUAAAGAUACUUUUGGUUGCAUAUGGCUAAGAUAGUGGAAUGUGGAAUAUAAGUGAUUGCAGCAUUAGAAGAAAGAGGAAUGCGAAAUGGGCUAAUGUAGCACUCAAUGUAACUCCUUUUCCUUUUCUCUCAAACAUAAUUUAUCCCUUAAAUGCUUUGUAGUCACACACUAAUAGGACUCAAUAUUAUUAUGCAUGAUGGAAUCAUAUCCACAAAAACAUGGUGAAGUGAUUAAGGCAUACAUAAAAUAAAUAUAAGCUACACUCAUCAUUGAAGGAAGGAACAUAAGAAAUGGUUUUUGUAAUUUUGUCUCACCAAGAGCAAUCUCUUACACAACAAUAAAUAACAUAGCAAACAUACAACAAAAUAGAACAAAAUAGAACAAGCAAAAGACUGAACAAUAUUGUGUAGUUGCAAAUCUUCCUUUUAAGUGAUGAACAAUUUGGUCCUUAAUAACAGUGAUCAAUGAAAACCCUCAUGAGGAAUUUCUAGCAACCAUGCGAUUGUAUUCAUACUGACUACACAUAACUGACCAUUUAUAAGUCACCUCAAAUAAUUUUUGUUGAACUUUUCUUUCAUCUUCCACCAUUUGAGACUGGUCUUUCCUCACAUUUUCAAGCUCCAUUUUGUACCCAAUAGUUUCUGCAAUCCUUUUAUUUUUUUCCUCUUCCAGAGAGGAUAAGGCAUCCUCACAAACUUUUAUUUCUUCCUUCAGCCUAAUGAUUUGUUCCUUUAAAACUACUUCCUUCAGUUGAGCUUCAUCAUAGAAAUUCUUUGCCUCGAAAAUUUUGGAACCAAGAGUAGUGGCCACCUCAUUCCCACGAGCUUCAAGUUCUGCCAACUUAUCAGUGGUAGCAAAGCCUUGCUUAAAGGAGCAUACAAUGCUUGGGAACUCUUGCUGCAUAGUGCCUAUAAUAUCUUUGAGUCCAUCUGAUAGAGAUACAUCUUUGAAAGGAAGGUUAGACAGGAAAUUAAGAGCAGACAAAAGGUUAAUACUGUUAGUCUCAGAGCUAACUAUGUCCUUCAAAGACAUCUUUAGAUACUUUUCCAACUCAACAAAGAUCUUUCCAACUAUGUUGUCUUCACUCUCUUUCCCCACAACAACUGGUGCAAACAAACUCAUGAUAUCAUUGGCCCCAGAGUCUUGAAUAAUUUUAGGAUGACCUCCACUUUCUUUAACAGUGUGUGUCUCAGUUCGACUGCUCCUAAUUUCACUCUUGGAGGAAUAAGAAGAAAAUAUAAUAGUAAAGACGUUAGCAUCAAGCCAUAACAGUUGCAAAUCAUUGAGUUCCUUAAACCAUUUUUUAUCCAAGCAUAUUUGUUAGAGUGAUGAUAACAAAUUCAUUAAAUUUAAAUUCCAACUUAAAAUUCCAUACUUUUGUUUUUAAUUCCACUCCCGCGGCAAAUGAUAAAUCAAAAUGAAAACAUCAUUUUUAUGCUGACAAAAUAUGUUGGAAAUGUGAAUUGCAUAAAAUAAACUUACAUGUGUAUGUGAUUUAGUUUGGGAAGUAAAUAUUUGGUCAAACUGUGAGCUAGUGGAUUCAGAAUGAAUCGAUGAAGUUGUGAUACUGGUGUUCUUUUCUAUGGUUUUCUCUACAGCUUCUCGCUCAAUACUCUGCAUAAGAAAAGAAAGAUAUUUACUAGCAGGGUUGUUAUUAAUGGCAUGUGCACAUGCAUGUUAAUUUAAAAUAUUUGAUGUUAUUUUUGUUUGCCAUUUACCUGAGGAAUUUUGGAGCUACUUACAAUUUUUCCAAGUGACUUUUGUCGGUUCAUCAAGCACGGUUCACUAAUCCGCUGUUUGUCCACCAAUGCCUAAACAAAGUAAUGAACUAGUGUAAAAUCACUAUACUCUUAGCACUUCAAUUUUAUCCAGUAGGAAAAAUAUUUAGGCUCACAUUUGAGAGUGUUUCACGUAGAGGAAUAUUCAAAUAAGAUGGAGUUGGCCUUUCAGAUGGUUGUGAGUUUGUUAAUGAUGUUGUUGUUCUUGGUAUUUCUGGAGUGGAAACUUCAGCAACAAAUUCCUUCUCUGGUUCUUCAUUUCUCGCAGCAAUGCGAUCAAUAGAAACAACACCUAUUUCACCUUCUUUAUCAACCAAGUUAGAACUUUCUUCGAAGCUAUUGUUAACAUUCUGGGUCUUCACACAUCUAGAACUUCUUUUACAGUUUUCAUUAGACUCAUCACCUUGUUUAACAACCUGGGAAUCUAAUACCAUAUCCACACUAUUAAACCUGUGUAAAAAACUUAAAUUUUUCACUUUAUGAAUCCCAAGAAAACAUAGAAAUUGAUAGUAUGAAUCUUGGAAGAAUUACAAAUACCACUAGAAUGUAUAUUUAAAUAGAAAGAGAAAAUUCAACUUCAAAUUCACAAAAGAAGGAUACAUUUUAUCUGGACAUUAACAAAGUCAUUUAAGACUCUUAAUUUCAUUCAUUCUUUACAUUACAUAGUAAGAAGUUAAAUGAUCAUACCUCUUAGGAUUCUCAUCCAUUUGUCUCUCCGCAAUGUCCUCUCUCAGCUUAGGAUCCCUCGUCAAAACAUGUUGACGCAUUUCAUCUAUCAAUGAACUCUCAAAUCCAAUCUCAACAGCUUCUUCACAUAGUUUAUGAAACUCUUUUUCUCUUUGAGGAGUAACAUUAUCAACACUUUCCUUCUGAAGGAACAACAAUAUAUCUGCCAAAAUUUUCAACCUCCAAGCUUGAAAGCGAUCACUAAAUUUCUCGCAAGCAUUCCAAAGAUGAGGAUAUGUUGUUAUCGCCUCCACCAAAAGAGCAAUUUGUGCAUCAUCUAGAUCAACAAAAUGUUUAUACAUUCCCAAUCUUGUACGAAUAUCUGCAGAAGCUAUAAAAAGUUUGAGAGAGUGAUAUGAAAAUAUAGAAUUGAAACAAGAAAAUAAGAAAUAAAAAACCUGGAGAAAUGUCAAUAUUGUUGUUAGAAACAAUAUGUAUCUCCUCUUGUUUGUCCAAUAGGUUCAACCCUUCUUCUACUUGGAUUUCUUGGCUUGGCAUGAUUCCUGCCUUGCCAUCAUUCAUCUUAUCAUCUUGUUCAAGUAUGUCCACGUCACCAGACUGAAUGUGAAUUGCAACACCACUUCCAAUGCUAAUGUCUUCAACAUCAGUUGACAAAGAUUUUGUCUUAUCACCCUCUGCUGUAGACCCCUCUUCAAUGUUCUCAUUUCCUACUUCCCCAAUCUCCUGUAUAUCACAAAGAAAAAAUAAGAUGGAGUGAGAGACUCUAAAAGUUUGAAAACCACUAUUUUUAAUAUACAUCAUGUGGUGGUAUGAUAGUAGUUUAAACGAUUGUGACUAUACUUCCUUCUUCUUCAAGUUAAAUUGUAUUUACAUUCAUAUAGAUUGGUUGGUUCUUACAUGUAAUGAAGUGAACUCACUGCUAGCAGAAUCUUCAUCUAAAUUGCUCAUCAUCACUUCUAUCUCCCAUCUAUAAACCCUAGUGUUUCUCAAAUCUGUAACAAAAAAAUAUAUAUUAGAGAAUUCACGUGACAGUGAAACACAUAAAAAAAAAUAUGAAAUACAACCUUAACUUUCCAUGAUGGACCAUUAUAUCACUACAAUUAAAAGUAAAAAUUGAUUUAAAAAGUUAAUUUGUAAAUAUAUUUUUUUAGGUGAAAUUGAGGGAUUUCAAAUGUGAUCAUAUUCUAUGAACGAUUAACAGGUUUAAUUGUGGACUGUGCGGAUUCAAAAUAUUUAGCAGCAAAAUCACCUAAACUUUAAAGAGUUUACCAAAUAUAAAAAAUAAUAUUAAAAAUAUAAUGAUAUCAACAUGCAUAACAUAAUACUCUUAAUCCAAUAAUUUAAUAUUUCGACAACAUGACAAAUUAAAUUAAAUAGAUGAAACUCAUAUAAAUUGAUUCAAACAAAAGUUCUUAAUGUGAAACUAACCCCUCAAAUAAUUGUAGUCCAAAAAAAUUGUCAGUGUUGGAUAAAAAUUACAUUUAAUUUCACACUCGUAAACUUCCUUUUUUACUUGAGAGUUUACUUGAGAGUUUAUACGAGUUAACACCAACAUUUGCUCAUAAAAGAGUUUGAUGGUAAGUUACCUCGUUUUUUCUCUAGUCGUAAGAGCUUAAGAUUAAUUCAAGAGUUUCACAACUUUCCAAUAACAGUUUAUAUUGAAGACUAUAUAUAGUAUUUACCUUUAUAAGGAAAAUUUUCCUUGAGCUCCCCAAGAGUAGUUGUUGGAGUUAAAGAGAGUUUUGGACAUUCAUAGACAACACAAUUCUUUAUAUUCGGCAAUUCAGUCUCUUGACAAAAGUUUGAAAGAUGCAUAAAUAUUAAAAGUUUCAGUCUUGGAAGCUCAACUUUACUCUUUCUUAUCUCUUCACUUUUUCCUUGUCCACAUCCAACAAGCUCUUCUAGUUCAGAAGCUCCAUUUAUGAUCAAAAGAAGAAGAUUGGGAAAGUCAUUAGAUGCAGAUCCAGAGAUAAAUCUUUUGAGCUUGUGGCAAUGUCCAACAUGCAAUGCUUUUAGUUUUGGGAAGCAUGGCCGAGGAGAAAGAAGAUUAGAAUUUGUUUUAUCCUCCAUAUCAUCUUCAAUGAUUUGUUUUAAUUCUUUGCAUUUUCUUAUUUUCAGAAGAUUCAAUUGUGGUAGGCAUCUGAAAACAUGCUUAGGAAAGAUUACUUCCAAUUUUUCACAUCCAACUAUUUCUAAUGUGGUAAGAUGUUGGAGAUUAAAUGAAUUCUUGGAAGUCACCCAAAUAUAAGUCAUUUGAGGUAGAUUUUCCAACAACAAAUCCUUUAACCUUAAAUUCACUUGUUGCUCAAUCAUUCCUUGUCCAUUAAGAAAAAAAAUACCUUUUACUUCAGAAUUCCUUAUGGUUACAUAUUGCAAAGUGAAGAAAUGGUUCUGAAUUCCUUUUGGAUCCUGCAAGACAUUAAAAGGAAAUGUAAAAAAAUACAAACAGAAAACAAAAAGGAACAAACAACUAAUAAUUAUAAAAUAAAGACAAGGCUACCUUUUUGCUUAUGCUAAAAUGCUCUCUUGAAUCCGUAGGAACCGUCAAACAACUAUCAGAAUAAAACUCCUUCAAAGAUGGCCACGUCAUAGUGAGAUUGUUGGUAGCACAAAUGCUAACAAAAUUUGGUAGAUUAUAAAGAUAGAGUAUUUCCAAUGCUGAGAAAUGAAUAUGAAUCUCCUCACAAUCCUGAUUAGCUACGGGAUAUUGGCCAAGCAUAUAUUUCAAUUGGCCACAAUCACUUACUGAGAGGUAUCUUAAGUUUGGGAAGAUGGCAUUCAAACUCUCUUUGCCAUAUUCAUCUUCAAUGUCUAUAAUGUGCUCAAGUCCAUCACAUUGCCUAAUUGUCAAGCUUUCCAACAUCAAUGAUGAAGCAAUAGACGAUUUAAAAAGGUACUUUACCUUAUCAAAGCCUUUCAAUUCAAUAUCUCUUAUAUUAUGCAUAAUAAGCAAGGUCAAACCCUGUGGUUGUUUUGAAAGAUAUUCAACACUUUCAACUGGAGGAACAAAAUCUGAGUUCAAUAUCUGCAAUAUAUACACCAAGUUACUUCUUAAACCAAACUAAAUAGUGUCUUAACUUUAAUUAUUAAUGCAUUUCAUUCCAAAUAUUAUUCGUGUAAAUUAAAAUUUAAAGAAAUACCAUUGAUUGCUUAGAUUUAUUUGAUUCUUUAUGAAAAUAAUUGCUUUUUCUUUAGCUUAAUGACUUAAAGUUGAAAAGAAAAUAAUUUCCCACACAUAAUCUACUCCCAAUAAUUUAUCCAAUACAUAAAUAUUAAAAAUCAUAUUGCAACUCUGGGAUGAAUUCAGGUAAAACCAUUAACCAUUUUUAGCACAAGCAUGAUCCUGCAAUUCAAAUGUUUAGAGUAAUUUUUGUAAAUACACAAAGUAAGAGAUUGAUAAGCAUACCUUGAUCGCAAUAUAAUCUUCGUGUCUAGCUUUCGAACCAUUUGCUGAACAAUUUAUAGUAAAAAACUCAACACGUCUCCCAAUAGCUAAUGAUAGUUCUCCUACAGAUGGACAUCUUAUAAGAUAAUUGUCUAGAACGGUGCUACCCAGGGUAUGAUCAAGUUCGAGUACUUCUAAAGUAGGAAGCUCAAUCUGAGUAUUAUUUUGUUGUUGGUGACAAGAAUUCUCUUUGAAAUUAUUUUGUCUUGAAAAAUCUUUCAAAUCAACUACCUCUUUCAUCAUACCUCCAACAAAAGAGAUAGGGAAUAUACGUUGCAAUAAGUCACAUCCACAAAUACGUAGCUUUUUCAAACUUUGGAAGAUUGAAAUAUCAAUAUGAAAGUCAUGGUCAUCCUCGAAAUUUUUUUCCUUCUGAUUUUGAUUGACCCUUUCAUGAGUUAUGAUAUGCUUCAAACUAUUGCACUUUUUUAUGAUCAAUUCUUCCAAAGAAGUCAACGUCUUAGCUGUAGAUGCUGUAAAAAUUGAACCUAACUUCGGACAAUCAUUUAUCCUAAGGCUUGCAAGGCUGGAUAGAGAUCCUGUAAAGUAUUUAUAAAUAAGAAAAAUAUCGCUCACCAUAUUAGAGUUGGUUAUAUACAUAUGCUAUGUGUGCAAGAUACUGAUUUAAAAAAGAUUGGUUUCAAGGGACUAAAAACACUAUCCUAAGCAUAAAAUGAUUGGUUAAUAAUAUGAAAAGAAUCAUACAAAACAAUUUUCUUUAAAUAAUUGUAAAUUAUACAUAAAUUUAAAAUGAAAACUGUCUUUAAUUUUGAUUGAGACAAAUUUCACUGGUAGUGUAUGAACAAGUAGUUGGUUCAUGUAAAACUAGAUUAGUAAUGUAGUUUGAACUUUACAAAUGGAAAAUAAUUAUAUGGAUGAAACAGUGGACAAUUAAUAUAGGCUUAAAUUUUUCAUUUAAAUAAGAUAUUAACAGUUUACGUGUAUCUUGUAAUAACUUCAACUAAGCAAUAACAUGUAGACUUACUAAUACAUGCUUAAACAUAUUUAGAAAUGCAAAAAGAAAAAUGUACCUGGGCUAUUGUUCACAAUUGUUGUUGAUGGAAUUGAAGUGCUAUACAAAUGUGGAUGCUUACCUUCCUCAAUGAUUUCAUCAAGUUCUUCUUUUUUAUUUUGGUCUACAGAUGGAACAAUAUUCCCAAUUAUUUGAUCUAGCAUGUCACAUUCUUGUAUCUUGAGCAUUUUCAAUUGAGUUAAGCCUCUUACAAUGUUGGCCGAGAAUAUAUGUUUUAAUUUUCUACAACUAUUUACCUUUACUUCCUGAAGAUUUUGGAAGAUUUGUACAGGAUGCUCAGUGGUGAAUUCACCUUGACUUUUUUCUGUUUUGUCAUCAUCAGCUAAUAUAUGCUUCAGUUCAUCACAUCUUGAUAUUUUUAAUAUUUUCAAUUGUACCAAACUUCGAGCAACGAUAUACGUGAAGAUAGAUGUCAACUGUGGACAAUCACUUAAAUUCAGCUUCUCUAAGUUCUCAAAAGGCCCAUUGAUAGGUUGAAAACAAUACCAUAAAGCUCUUAAAUUUUUCAUUUUUUCCACUCUGAGAUUAUACAACUUGGAGAAGUGAGUUACCACCGUACUCGAUUGGUUACUAGUGUCAAUCAAACACUCUAUCUCUUCAGAAUUACGUAUCUCAAACUCACUCAACUCAUCCAAACCUCCUCCUUCAAUUUGAAAUAUAUCAGGGAUGAUAUUUUUUGCGCCGACCUGAAUAUUUGCUACAAAUAGAUUUGUUGCUUUUUUUGCCAAACCCUUAAUUACCUCAUUUGAUAUCUGAAAAUGGUUAAGCAAUAGAGUUCUGGGACGAUAUUGAAAAUAACUAUAAUCAUAAAAGUUAUCGGAUCCUAAUACAAUUGAAUACCUUUGCAGUGUUAGGGGGACACCAAAUGUGUUAAAGAAUUCAAUAUAGUCUUCACUGUUAGCAGUCCAUUUUCCUUCGAUAUCGACAAUGUACAACUCUUCCAGUAGUGGGGUUCUUUUGAUCACUUCAAAAUUUUUCCCUUUCAUUUCACAUUUGUACACGUGUAACAAUUUUAAGGUUGUUACUUGUGUAAUUGCAACAUCAAAUGAAGACAAUGAACAACCAUUCAACGAAAGACUUUGAAGUUUCUUCAUAUUGCUUACAAAUGAGAAGUCACUCAAUUCAUAAUAAGAAAUAUCUAGAUAACGAAGAUUUGUUAAUGUUUUUAAAGACAUUGUUGACAAUGGUGUUAUUCCAUCUUUAUCAUUGACUAGAAUCAAAACUUUGAGCAUUCUCAUUCUUUUGAAAAUUCCAUUCAAUUCUUCCAAUUUUGUCUUUAAGAGUAAAAACUCAAGAUUGGAACAAUCCAAAUCAUUUGGAAAUUUCACACACCAUAGAUAUCUUACUGAAUUUUGUUCAAUAGUCACAUCUUUUUCCUCUUCGCACUUGAUUAUCUUAUUCUCAUUCUUUGCUAUCAAGUGGGCCACAUCGCGAACUAUGUCAUGCAUUUUGACAUAUUCAUCCUUUUCAUCCAACAAUAAACAAGAACUAACGAGCUUAAUUUUGGCUGCAACCACUUCACUCCUUGCCUCCUCAUAAGAGUGUGCUUCUCCAACUACACCUAAUCCUAUAGCAUAUCUUGUUAAAAUUUCCAAUGGAAUUUCAUAAUCUUCAGGGAACACAGAACACAAUAGGAAAAGUGAUUUAGCUUCUUUAUUAUCCAAAUUAUCAUAGCUCAGCUGCAAGCACUUGUAGGGAUCAAUCAAACCUCUUUCUAUAUUUAUUGGCUUAGAACUUCUCAACUUAUUCAAUGCAACACUCCAUAUCGUCUCCGCUUUUCCCUUCAAACUACUAGCUACAGCUGCAAUUGCAACAGGCAAUCCUUUACAUUCAUUGGAAAUUAAUCUUCCCAGAUUCUUUAAGGUAUCAGGGGUGUCUUCAAAUAUAAGUGCUUUAUUUUGGAAAAGAGUCCACGCUUCUUCAUCCGUUAAAAUUGGCAAAUAAAUCUUUCUUUGACAAUCCAUUGAAGUACAAACUUCUUCUGAUCUAGUGGUAAUGAGAAUCUUGCAGCCUUUAUGAUGUUCAGAGGAGGGAAUCCCAAUGCCACCAAAGUCAAGCUUCUCCCACACAUCAUCUAGAAUCACAAGAAUUUUUUUCUCUUGGUUUAAUCUCAAGCACAAUCGUUGGGCCCUCUCCAUUACUUCAGUUUCUGGAAAUGUAUACUGCAAUGAACUUGCAAUUUUUUCUUGGAUCCUUCGAACUUCCACUGUACUAGAAAUAGGCACAAAAAGAACUUUUUCAAAAAAAUGUUCUGCUUCUACUAACUUCAUAACCUCCAUUGCUAAGGUGGUUUUACCACAACCCCCCAUCCCAUACAAUCCAAUCAUGUCAACAUCAUUAUUUUUCACUGCUUCUAGUAGUUUCUCAUAUGCAGAUUGUCUACUCUCAAAAUUCAUGCAUUUUUCUGAGAGAAUAUCAAGGGUGCCUGAAGGAAGUGUAGCAAUGCGGUCAAAUGGCACAUAUUUUCUACCCUCUGCGAUGAACUUUUCAAGGUACACAUUUUUAUUUGCUAACUUUUUUCCUACACGGUAUUGCCAAAUCCAAUUUGGACAGUGCCCAAAGCAGCAAAUUCUUUUCGCUUUUGCCUCUUUCAACAACUGAUUCACAUUGUCUACGUCAUUGAUAGCAUCUUGCAGCCAUUUGUCAACAACUUCACUCGUCUUUCUUGUUUGUUUCUUGGCAUUUGUAACAAAUUUUUGAACACUAUCUCUCGUUACAAUCAAAUCGCCCUCUUCUUCUUCAAGCUUUUUUAGAAAAUUGUUAAAGCAACAAGGAUAACGUAAUUGAUUUAAUGCUCCACACACUAAAUCUCUUGAAACAGAAGAUGCAAAACCCAAGAGGCACUCCAUCAAUUUGUUCCACCAAAUGCAAUUUUCUUUUACCUAAACAAGAGAAGUUGAAUACUCUGUAGUGAGUUUUAUAACUAUAUUUACAUUACAAGAAAAUUCAUGAAAUAGUAAUCAAAUUUAAAGACAAAAAAUAAUUAGUCACUAUAUUAACUAAAUUAUAUACUAUUUUAGAGACUAAUUUUCUUUUUGUAUAUAAAGUGCUUUUUAUUAUUAAUAAAAAAUUAUAAAAUAGUUUUUAAAUUGAUAUCUAAAUUAGCUACCAAGAUUUUAGCUACUAAUAUUUUAGAGUUUUAAUUGGUCUGAAUUAGUCUUUUAGAAACUAAUUUAAAAUCUAAAAUAUUAAUAGUUAAAACUUUAGUAGAUAAUGAUUAGAUACAAAUUUAAAAACUACUUUAUAAAUUUUUAUUAAUAACAAAAACUACUUUAGAUACUAAUAAUUUUCUUAGUUUCUAAAAUAAUCUCUAAUAUAAUAUAAUAGUAACUAAUUAUUUUUGUCUUUAAAAUUAGUUGCAAUUUGAUGAUUUUAUAGUGUUAAAUGUAUUAGAUAACAAAAGAUUUUAAGAUAUUUGUUGCAUUAUCCAGUACAUCACUUUUAUAGUAAAGGUUAUGAUGUUAUGUUUAGUAAUUAGAUUUCAUGUUUUAUACCUUAUAUAAUCAAUUAUUGUACACACAAUAGAAAUAAAAAUAAAUCUAAUAACUUUAAUGAUUACUUUUAAAGGUUUAUGUGUUAAUAACAAAUGUUGGUAAUUCCUAAAAAAUUGUAAAUAUUCAAUAAAAUAAAAUAAAAUAAAAGUAUCUAAAAGGUUACUUGAAAUUUAAUUAAGUCUAAAAUAAAUGAAUUUUUUUAGCUAAUUGCAUAUACUCAAUUACAUUGAGAUGAGUUAGACUUGGUACUUUAUGAGCUCUUCUCAAUUUAAACCAAGACUCGAGUGCUUUUAAAAUUCUACACAAACUUCUAAUGUUUUGAAAACGUUACAUUAUCACUGUUUGUUACAUCACACAUGCAAUUUCAUUAAAAACAGUUAAUAUAGGUAUAAUUCAGUUUUAUUAAAAACAGUUAAUAUAAGUAUAAUUUUUUAGAAUAUUAAGGAGUAUGAUUGUAUUUUACUCACUCAUUCAUUAUUCAUGAUUGGAUGUAUAAAUUUAAUAAACUAAAUAAUCUAAAAAAACAAUCUCUUCUCUUUUUAUUUUCUCAAUUAACACUGGUUUAUAUUUAUUCCAGGUCUCAUCUUUUUUUUAUUUCAUUAAUUUAUUCACCUCUAUUUUUUUCUCAAUACAAGUUUUUAGGCCGCAACAUUCCUUCUUUUCAGUGAAAAAAAGAAAUAACUUUCUAAAAAUAAUUUAAAAUAUAUAUGAUAAUUAGUUUUAAGCAAAAGUAUCAUAUAAUUAUUUUUAGUAGAGAAACUAUGUACUUAUUAUUUACUAAAUAAAAUUUUAUUUAAUUUAUUAAAAGAUAAAAUUAUCUAAUUAAAAAAUGACAAAAAAAGAGUUAUAAAAAAUAUGUUCUGAUACAAAUUAUUAAAAAUAGUAAAUUAAUCAACCCUAAUAAUAAAAAGUGAUAAUAAAUAAAUAAUGACAAAAAAAUAAUAUUAAUGAUAUAAUAAAGAAUAAUAACAAUAAAAAAUUUAAUUAUUUUAUUUAAAUUAAAUAAUCUCAAAAAAAUAUAAUUACUUUUCUUUUUAUUUUCUCAAUUAACACUGUUUUAUAUUUAUUCUGAGUCUCAUCUUUUUUUUAUUUCAUUAAUUUAUUCUCCCUCUAUUUUGUUUCUCAAGUCAACUUUUUAGGCUGCAACAUUCCUUCUUAUCAACAAGAGCAAAAAAAUAAAAUCAAAUUCUUAAAUCUAAUUUAUAAUACAAAUUAUAAAUUUUCUCUGUCUAUUUUGUUUCUCCAAAUCAACCUCUCUAGUUGUUUAUAUUCCCAGUUUUCACAGAUCUCGUAGUAUUUCUAAUCCAAAUUAUUUUCUCAGAUCUCACAUAAAAAAACAGAGUAUAUUGUGUUUUGAUCCAUAAGAAGAGAUUAAUUUGGAAGUGGAAAAAGAGGAAAGGUUUUUACGUUACCUGCUUUAACUAAUAUGUAGAGAGAGAUGAGAGAAAGAAGUGGUGAUCCAUGACUUCAGUACAAGAGACACUCAAACGUUAAGUUACUGCACAGACAUAAACACAAACACGUGAUCUGCAGCUUCAAUUGAAAACGAAUCUAUUAGAAUUUGAAAACAAAGCAAAAGUUAACUUCACACUGAUUCAUACCUCCACAGAGAUGAAAGUACUCCAUUGCUUGAAUCGAGGAGAGAGUACAAGAGAAGCUGAAACGUUAAGUUACUGCACAAGCAUAAACACAAACACAUGAUCUACAACUUCAAUUGAAAAGGAAUCGAUUAGAAUUAAGUUAACUUCACAGUGAUUCAUACCUCCACAGAGAUUAAGAAUGAACGCACAGUUAUUCCAGCACAAGAGACGGUGAAAGGUUAAGUUACUGCAGAAACAUAAACACAAACACAUGAUCUACAGCUUUAAUUGAAAAGGAAUCGAUUAGAAAUUGAAAUGAAAGCAGAAGUUAAGUUCAGAGUGAUUGAAACCUGCAGAGAGAUGAAAGGAAUCCAUUGGUUGAAUGAAGAACAGAGUAAAAGAGAGAAUCCUGCGAGAGAUGUGAAGAGUGACUAUUAGUCUUCUUCCCACUGAUAUCAUUGGUCUUCUCUUUUCUAUCGAUUAAUAUUAUUAUUAUUAUCAUGAUUCAGGAAGAUGCAUCCACUUGCACUUUUAUAUCUUUUAAAACUCUUUCUGCUCUUUUUAUAUAAUAAUUAUUCUUAUCUUUUAUUAUUGCUCUCUGCAGUUUUUUGUUAAUCAGCAGCAGUGCAUUGCACACGGUAUUUACAAAACUUUAAACGGGGAAACAUCAUUCUCACAUAACAAUAAUUUAUUUUAUUUAUUAAACAAUACACAACCAACAGAAAAAAAACAAAACUUAUUUAACCUUCGAGUUGUACCAGCCUAAUUAAAGUUGAGAAUAUUAUUGUAAUUUUUUAAAUAAUUUUUACUUUUAUUUAGUAUGAAUGUUUCAACCCGAUUUAAAUUCAUCCUGAAAUUUAAUGUAAAAACUAGAAGUGGAAAAUGACCUUUUAAAAUUUUUAUAUUUUCUUAAAACAUAUUAUUUAAAACGUAUUUUAAAAAAGUAAACUAUUGCUUUCGAGGAAAAUUGAAUUUAGUAUUCAAUUUCAUAAAAGAAUAAAUAAAAAUAGAAAUGGAAAUGGAUGAUUCCUUUUAAAUUGACAGAUAGGAGUAAACUGAUUGAGAAAUUAGAACCAAAUGAAAUAUAUAGUAAAGCAUGCAAAAAAAGAAAAAUAAGGUAUUACAAAAUGACAAUGGACAGUCAUUCAAGGAAGGGCAACAAAAAUGGGUUUCUGUAAUUUUUAAGAAAAACAUGUGAUCAUUAUAUGUUACAUAAAAGAACAAAUAGUUUUUUAUUUUAUUUUUCAUAACAUUGUCUUUGUCUCACCCAGACUUCUUACACAACAAUAAAUAAGAUACCAAACAUACAAUAAUAUAACAAUCAACAUUUAGAAAGUAAAUUGAAACUAUUUGAUAUUGUGAAAAUAUUGAAGCAUACAACCAUCAAGAAACAAAAGACGGAACAAAACAGUGUAGUUGCAAGUCUUCCUUUUGAGUGAUGAAGAGUUUGAUCCUUAAUAACAGUGAACAAUGAAAAUUCUUAUGAGGGAUUUCUGGCAGUCAUGCGAUUGUACUCAUAUUGACUACAUAGAAUUGACCAUUUAUAAGUCACCUCAAACAACUUUUGUUCAAUUUUUCUUUGAUCUUCCACCAUUUGAGAAUUGUCUUUCCUCACAUUUUCAAGCUCCAUUUUGUACCCAAUAGUUUCCGCAAUGCAUUUAUUUUUUUCCUCCUCCAGAGAUGAUAAGGCAUCCUCACAAACUUUUAUUUCUUCCUUUAAAACAACUUCCUUCAGUUGAGCUUCAUCAUAAAAAUUCUUUGCCUCAGAAAUUUUGGAACCAAGAGAAAUGGUCACCUCAUUUCCACGAGCUUCAAGUUUUGCCAACUUCUCAAUGGUAGCAAAGCCUCGCUUAAAGGAGCAUACAAUGCUUGGGAACUCUUGCUGCAUAGUGCCUAUAAUAUCUUUGAGUCCAUCUGAUAGAGUUACAUCUUUGAAAGGAAGGUUGGACAGGAAAUUAAGAGCAGACAAAAGACGAAUGUUGUUAGUCUCAGAGCUAACUAUGUCCUUCAGAGACAUCUUUAGAUACUUUUCUAACUCAACAAGGGUAUUUCCAACUAAAUUAUCUUCACCCUCUUUCCCCACAACAAUUGGUGCAAAUAAACUCAUUAUAUCAUUGGCCCCAAAGUCUUGAAUAAUUUUAGGAUGACCUUCACUUUCUUUAGCCGUGUCUGUCUCAGUUUGAUUGCUCCAAAUUUCAGUCUUGGAGGAAUAAGAAGAAAAUAUAACAAAAAAGACGUUAGCAGUCACAACAAUUUUAAAGCAUUGAGUUCCUUAAACCAUUUUAUAUCAAAGCAUAUUUGUGAGAGUGAUGGUAACAAACUCAUUAAAUUUAAAUUCCAACUUGAAAUUCAAUACUUUUUGUUUCUUAAUUCCACUCCUACGGCAAAUGGUAAAUCAGAAUGGCAACAUCAUUUUUAUGCUGACCAAAUAUAUUGCAUAAAAUAAACUUACAUAUGUAUGCAUUUUUAUUUUGAAAAUGACAACAUGUGUGCCAAUAGAAUGCCUCAGUUUUAUUCUGUUUGCCAUUUACUUGAGUAAUUUCGGGGCUACUUACAAUUUCUCCUAGUGGCUUUUGUUGAUUCAUCAAACACAGUUCACUAAUUCGUUGUUUGUCCACCAAUGCCUAAACAAAGUAAUGAAUAAGUGUAAAAUACUAUUAUUUCAUCCAAUUCUCGAAAAAUAUUUUUAGACUCACAUUUGAGUGUGUUUCACGUAGAGGUAUAUUCGAGUAACUUGGACUUGGCCUUUCAACUGGUUGCGAGUUUGUUAAUGAUGUUGUUGUUCUUGGUAUUUUUGAAGUGGAAACUUUUGCAACAAAUUCCUUCUUUGGUUCUUCAUUUCUCGCAGUCACAAUGCGAUCAUUAGAAACAACAACUAUUUCACCUUCUUUGUCAACCAAGUUAGAACCUUCUUCGAAGUUAUUGUUAACAUUCUGGGUCUUCACACUUGGAGAAGUUCUUUUGCAGUUUUCAUUAGGCCCAUCACCAUGUUCAACAGCCUGAGAAUCUAGUACCAUCUCCACACUACUAGACCUGUGUAACAAACUUAAAUUUUUUGCUUUAUGCAUCCCAAAGAACAGAAAACUAAGAAACAUAUGGUAUCAAUCUUAUAAGAAUUGUAGAUACAACCACAAUGUAUAUAUAAAUAGAAACAGGAAAUCCACACAGCCACAACAUAGAGAUAUAACUUCCAAUUCACAAAAAAACUAAUACAUUUUAUCCGGGCAUGAACAAAGUCAUUUAUGACUCUUAAUUUCAUUCAUUCUUUACAUUACAUUGUCAAGAAGUUAAAUGAACAUACCUCUUAGGAUUCUCAUCCAUUUGUCUCUGUGCAAUUUCCUCUCUCAGCUUAGGAUCCCUCACCACAACACGUUGACGCAUUUCAUCUACCCAUGAACUCUCAAAUCCUAUCUCAAUAGCUUUUUCACAUAGUUUAUGGAAAUCUUUUUCUCUUUGAGGAAUAACAUUAUCGCCACUUCCCUUCUGCAGGAACAACAACAUAUCUGCCAAAAUUUUCAACCUCCAAGCUUGAAAGCGCUCACUGAACUUCUCGCAAGCAUUCCAAAGAUGAGGAUAUGUUGUUAUUGCCUCCACAAGAAGAGCAAUUUGUGCAUCAUCCAAAUCAACAAAAUGUUUAUAUGCUCCCAAUCUUGUAUGAAUAUCUGCAGAAGCUGUAAAAAGUUUGAGAGGGUGAUAUGAAAAUAUAGGAUGAAAACGAGAAAGUAAGAAAUAAAAAACCUGGAGAAAUGUCAAUGUUGUUGUUGUUAGAAACAAUAUGUAUUUCCUCUUGUUUAUCCAACAGAUUCAACCCUUCUUCUAACUGGAUUUCUUGGCUUGGCGUGAUUCCUGCCAUGCCUUCAUUCAUUUUAUCAUCUUGUUCAACAACCUUGGAAUGUUUUGCAAGUAUGUCCACACCACCAGACUGAACGUGAGUUGCAACACCACCUCCAUUGCUAAUGUCUUCAACACCAGUUAACAAAGGUUUUGUCUUAUCACCCUCUACUGCAGGCCCCUCUUCAAUGCUUUCAUUUCCUACGUCCCCAAUCUCCUGUGUAUCACAAAUUGAAAAAAUAUGAUUGAGAGAAUCUAAAGUUUGAAAGGACCACAAUCUUCUUCGAUACCACUCAAUAUUAUGCAAUUUGCUAAAGUAAGUGCUAUAAGUCAUUCACUUUCUCUAAUAUUUAGAAGAGCUUAUUGAAUACUAACCGGUGAGUGUGCUUCGUUUUGGUUAUGCUCUGAACCAGGUUCUUCCUCAAUAAAUUCCUUCAUUGAUUGUUCAUCAAUCUGAACAACGCCAAAAUAUACAAAUUCAAAAGCUCAACAAGUUAACAUUUUUAACUAAUAUAACCAAGUUAUAAAUGAAGAGGUUUUUCUUUUUUAAUUAAUUGAUUGAGUCAUGGCAAUAUUUACUUUGGGGCAUUUCCAUAACAAUAACAAAUGGAGACAAGAUGCAAAGAAGAAUGGCUCAUAUACUAUUCUCAAACUUUAGAACAUUAUUUUAGGAAGUUUUAAUUUACUUUUUUAGACUUCAUUGUAUCACUUAUCUUUUUAAGAUCUUUUCGUAAUUUUUAUUUUAAUAUAAAGAUCUUACAAAAUUCAAUUUUUCAUUAAUAUUUUAUUUGAUGGUUUGCAGAAAUAUAUAUUUAAAAUAUUGUUUUACUUUUCUGACUUGGCAUGUUAUUUAAGAUUCUAAGUCUUAUUUUUUUAUUCUACCAUGUGAGUUAAAAUUGAAAAAAUUCUUCUAAUAAUGAAACAAUUUGUUUUAUUAAACUUUCUUUCAAUUGCAUUACAUUCAUAGAUUGGUUGGUUCUGACCUGUGAUGAAAUGAACUCACGUAUGUCCCCCACAGAAACUUCAGUGUCUUCGAAAUCUGUAAAAAAAAUUCAUAUUAGGGAAUUCAUGUGACAAUGAAACACAUAACAAAAAGGAAAUACAACAUCAAGUUUCCAUGAUGGAUCAUUAUAUCACUACGAUCAAAAAUAAAAAAUGAUUUAGAAAGUUUUAUGAUAGGAUUUUUUUUAUCACCCAUCCAAAUAAAAUGGUGACUCUGUCUUAAGGAUCGUUUUCUUUAUAACUGUUCUUCAUAACUAAAAUUAAAAAACUUGCAGCAAAAAGUAAUUUAAUGUGUUUUAUUUUAAAAAAAGUAAAUUUUCAUAGUACACUAGUGCUAAAUAAGAUCAAUUAAAUUAUAUAGAUAACUAAAUCAUAUAUAAAUUGAGCUUAAGAUUAGUUCCAGAGUUUGACAACCUUCCAAUAACAAUUUGUAUUUGAAGAUUCUAUAUAGUAUUUACCUUCAUAAAGAAGAUUUUUAGCAAGCUUUGUAAGAGUAGUUGUUGGAGUCAAAGAGAGUUUUGGACAUUCGUAGACAACACAGUUCUUUAAAUUUGGCAAUUCGGUCUCUUGACAAAAUUUUGAAAGAUGCAUAAAUAUUAAGAGUUUCAGUCUUGGAAGCUCAACUUUACUCUUUCCUAUAUGAUCACCUUUUUCUUGUACACAUGCAACAAACUCUUCUAGUUCAGAAGCUCCAUUUAUGAUCAAAACAUGAAGAUUGGGAAGGUCAUUAGAUGCAGAUCCAGAUAUAAAUCUUUUCAGUCUGUCACAAUGUUCAACAUACAAUGCUUCUAGUUUUGGGAAGCAUGGCUGAGGAGAAACAAGAUUAGACAAUUUUUUAUCUUUCACAUCUUCUUCAAUGAUUUGUCUUAAUUCUUUGCAUUCUCUUAUAUUCAGAUGAUUCAACUCUGGUAAGCAUCUUAAAACAAACUUUGGAAAGACAACUUGCAAUUUUUCACAUCCAAUGAUUUCUAAUCUUUCAAGAUUUGGGAAGGUAAAAGAAUUCUUUGAAGUUUCUUGUUCACAUCCAAAAAUCUGCUUCAAUUCCAUGCAUUCUUUUAUAAUUAGGCUUUUCAACUUUUGUAAGCUUCUUAAAACAGAGGGAGGAAAGAUUACUUUCAAUUUUGCACAUCUCAUUAUUAUUAAUGUGGUAAGAUGUUGGAGAUUAACUGAAAUCAUGGAAGCCACCCAAAUAUAAGUCAUUUGAGGUAGAUUUUCCAAAAACAAAUCCUUUAACUUUAAACUCACUGGUUGCCCAAUCAUUCUAGGUCCAUUAAGACAAAAAAUAUCUUCUACUUCACAAUUCCUUAUGGAUAGAUAUUGCAAACUGAGGAAAUGGUUCUGAAUCGACUUUAGAUUCUGCAGGACAUUAAUAAGAAAUGUAAACAAAAAAAUCCAAAUAGAAAACAAAAAGGAACAAAUAACUAAUAAUUAUAAAAAUAAAGACAAGACUACCUUCCUACUUACGCUAAUAGGCUCUCUUGAAUUCGUAGGAACCAUCAAACAACUAACAGGAUCAUAAAAAGGAUAUGAGCAUCGGUAACACAUAAACUCCUUCAAAGAUGGGUAUGUCAUAGUGAGAGAGUUUGUAGCACAAAUGCUAACAAAAUUUGGUAGAUCAUAAAAAGAGAGUAUUUCCAAUGCUGAGAAAUGAAUAUGAAUCUCCUCACAAUCCUUAUUAGCUACGGGAUAUUGGCCAAAAAUAUAUUUCAAUUGGCCACAAUCACGCACUGAGAAAUUUCUUAAGCUUUGGAAGAUAGCAUUCAAAUUCUCUUUCUCAUAUUCAUCCUUAGUGUCUAUAAUGUGCUCAAGUCCAUGGCAUUCCUCAAUUCUUAAAGAUUCCAACAUCAAUGAUGAAGCAAUGGACCAUUUAAAAAUGUACUUUGCCUUAUCAAAGCCUUUCAGUUCAAUCUCUCUUAUAUUAUGCAUAGUAAGAAAGGUCAAACCCUGUGGUUGUUUUGAAAGAUAUUGAACACUUUCAACUUGGAGAAUACGAUCUGAGUUCGAUAUCUGCAAUAUAUACACCAAGUUACUUCUUAAACCAAACUAAAUAAUAUCUUAAUUAAGUAUAAUUAUUAAUGCAUUCCAUUUCUAACAUAUCAUUCGUGUAAAUUAAAAUUUUAAGAAAUACCACCAAUUUGCUUAGAUCCAUUUGUUUCUUUAUGAAAAUAAUUUCCUUUUUCUUUAGCCUAAUGAGUUAAAGUUGAAAAGAAAAUAAUUUUCCAUAAAUAAUCUACUUGAAAUAAUCUUACAGGAUAACUGUCUAGAAUGGUGCUUCCCAGG